RNAcentral lists this non-coding RNA (23 nucleotides) under Arabidopsis thaliana (thale cress). Lineage: Eukaryota; Viridiplantae; Streptophyta; Magnoliopsida; Brassicales; Brassicaceae. The record is from RNAcentral.
UGUACGGUACUUCUUCCUACCUA